RNAcentral lists this ribosomal RNA (531 nucleotides) under Colletotrichum sp. HS-EF12. RNAcentral describes it as "eukaryotic LSU rRNA". The stretch from base 157 to 310 matches the Rfam family "5.8S ribosomal RNA". Lineage: Eukaryota; Fungi; Ascomycota; Sordariomycetes; Glomerellales; Glomerellaceae. The record is from RNAcentral.
CUUCACCCUUGUGACAUACCUAUAACUGUUGCUUCGGCGGGCAGGGUCUCCGUGACCCUCCCGGCCUCCCGCCCCCGGGCGGGUCGGCGCCCGCCGGAGGAUAACCAAACUCUGAUUUAACGACGUUUCUUCUGAGUGGUACAAGCAAAUAAUCAAAACUUUUAACAACGGAUCUCUUGGUUCUGGCAUCGAUGAAGAACGCAGCGAAAUGCGAUAAGUAAUGUGAAUUGCAGAAUUCAGUGAAUCAUCGAAUCUUUGAACGCACAUUGCGCCCGCCAGCAUUCUGGCGGGCAUGCCUGUUCGAGCGUCAUUUCAACCCUCAAGCUCUGCUUGGUGUUGGGGCCCUACAGCUGAUGUAGGCCCUCAAAGGUAGUGGCGGACCCUCCCGGAGCCUCCUUUGCGUAGUAACUUUACGUCUCGCACUGGGAUCCGGAGGGACUCUUGCCGUAAAACCCCCAAUUUUCCAAAGGUUGACCUCGGAUCAGGUAGGAAUACCCGCUGAACUUAAGCAUAUCAAUAAGCGGAGGAAUU